Molecule: ribosomal RNA, 639 nt
Filed under: uncultured Actinomycetes bacterium
Lineage: Bacteria; Bacillati; Actinomycetota; Actinomycetes
Description: bacterial SSU rRNA
Rfam family: Bacterial small subunit ribosomal RNA
Source: RNAcentral
CGCGGCCUAUCAGCUUGUUGGUGAGGUAACGGCUCACCAAGGCAUCGACGGGUAGCUGGUCUGAGAGGACGAUCAGCCACACUGGGACUGAGACACGGCCCAGACUCCUACGGGAGGCAGCAGUAGGGAAUCUUGCGCAAUGGGCGAAAGCCUGACGCAGCAACGCCGCGUGGGGGAUGAAUGCCUUCGGGUUGUAAACCCCUUUCAGCAGGGACGAAAAUGACGGUACCUGCAGAAGAAGCUCCGGCCAACUACGUGCCAGCAGCCGCGGUAAUACGUAGGGAGCGAGCGUUGUCCGGAAUUAUUGGGCGUAAAGAGCUCGUAGGCGGUUCAGUAAGUCGGGUGUGAAAACUCAAGGCUCAACCUUGAGACGCCACUCGAUACUGCUGUGACUUGAGUCCGGUAGAGGAGUGUGGAAUUCCUGGUGUAGCGGUGAAAUGCGCAGAUAUCAGGAGGAACACCAGCGGCGAAGGCGGCACUCUGGGCCGGUACUGACGCUGAGGAGCGAAAGCAUGGGGAGCAAACAGGAUUAGAUACCCAGGUAGUCCAUGCCGUAAACGUUGGGCACUAGGUAUGGGAUCAUAUCAACGGAUUCCGUGCCGUAGCUAACGCAUUAAGUGCCCCGCCUGGGGAGUACGG